Molecule: ribosomal RNA, 581 nt
Filed under: uncultured bacterium
Lineage: Bacteria
Description: bacterial SSU rRNA
Rfam family: Bacterial small subunit ribosomal RNA
Source: RNAcentral
CCUACGGGAGGCAGCAGUAGGGAAUCUUCCACAAUGGGCGCAAGCCUGAUGGAGCAACGCCGCGUGAGUGAAGACGGCCUUCGGGUUGUAAAGCUCUGUCUGUCGGGACGAAGACCGGCCCGGAAGGGCCGGGGAGCCGGUACCGACCGAGGAAGCCCCUGCAAACUGCGUGCCAGCAGCCGCGGUAAGACGUAGGGGGCAAGCGUUGUCCGGAAUUACUGGGCGUAAGGGCGUGUAGGCGGUGCGAUACGUAGCGGUUUUAAGCCUCCGGCUCACCCGGAGGAGGGCGGCUAAACGGUCGCGCUAGAGGGCAGGAGAGGUGCGUGGAAUUCCUGGUGGAGCGGUGGAAUGCGUAGAGAUCAGGAAGAACACCCGUGGCGAAGGCGGCGCACUGGCCUGGCCCUGACGCUGAGGCGCGACAGCGUGGGGAGCGAACGGGAUUAGAUACCCCGGUAGUCCACGCCGUAAACGAUGGGUACUAGGUGUCGCCCGGGUCCACCGGGCGGUGCCGGAGCUAACGCACUAAGUACCCCGCCUGGGGAGUACGGCCGCAAGGUUGAAACUCAAAGGAAUUGACGGGG